RNA transcript from Harpegnathos saltator (Jerdon's jumping ant), 1678 nucleotides. It is a transcript of the gene named uracil phosphoribosyltransferase krishah, with no coding region annotated. Lineage: Eukaryota; Metazoa; Arthropoda; Insecta; Hymenoptera; Formicidae. The record is from RefSeq and is a predicted model, not a curated record. The transcript has 8 exons.
ACACGCAUCCAUCAUGGGGAGCACGGACAACGCGACGAAGAAUAUGUUGAACCAGGACAACCAGGACAUCGUCGACGAAUACGGAGCAAAUCUCAAGAUUCUACCUUGCAACAACCAAGUGAAAGAGUUGCAAACCAUUUUAAGGGACAAGAAUACUACAAGGAGUGAUUUCAAGUUCUAUGCUGAUCGCCUGAUCAGGCUAGUUAUUGAAGAGAGUUUGAAUCAACUGCCGUUUUCAAAAUGCGUAGUAACAACUCCAACUGGUGCUCAGUAUAAAGGUUUAAAGUAUCAGAAAGGAAAUUGUGGCGUGUCCAUAGUAAGGAGCGGCGAAGCAAUGGAACAGGGUCUUAGAGAUUGCUGUCGUAGUAUUAGAAUUGGUAAGAUUUUAGUUGAAAGUAAUGCAGAUACACACGAAGCUAGAGUAGUUUAUGCCAAGUUCCCUGAUGAUAUAUCUGAAAGGAAAGUCUUGUUGAUGUAUCCAAUAAUGAGUACUGGAAACACUGUUAUCAAGGCAAUAGCUGUGUUAAAAGAACACAAUGUGCUUGAAGAAAAUAUUAUCCUGUCGAAUUUGUUCUGUACACCAAUUGCAGCCAAGUCUCUAGUCACUGCCUUCCCUAAGAUGAAGAUCUUAACGUCGGAGAUUCAUACUGUCGCACCAAAUCAUUUUGGACAAAAAUACUUUGGUUCUACGGAGAGAACACGAGCUUAACACGGACGCAGUGGACGUCGGAUUUGACAAUAUUCUGAUCGAGUCUGCUGGCAUACUAGCUAACAUUUUGCUUACUGGGAUACAUAAUUAACAAAUUUUGGCAGGCUCGUUCAUUAUACAUCGUAUUGAAGACACCAAAAUAUACAAAGUUGAAUAUACAGAGAAAGAUGAUUGAGGAACUAGCUACUGUUCCAUUUUUAUCGUCAGAUCUCAAUAAAUUCGAUGAAAUUGCAAAUUUCAUCAGCUUAGGAAGUAAAUGUAUGUCGCAAUAAUUCGUAGGUCAAUCAGAUCAUACAUUAUUUCUAAUCUGAGAGCAUGAGUAAUAUUUUCAGAUAUUAUUUUCAGAUAUUAUGUUAUAAGGGGAGAAAUAUAUAUUUUGUAUAUAUCUGGAAAUAUAUUUGAGAAGUAUAGUAUUUUUGCUGUUUCAGGUUUGCCGUCAGGCUCUAAUGAACGUAUUUUUAAAUAUCCUAUCUAUACUACUCGUUAUUAGCAAUUAAAAAAUAAUAGAGUUAAGAAAGUCUCGUAAACAUAUACUCUAUUUACAAGUUUACAUAUCUCACACACAGGUGAUGUAUUAUAUUUUAUGUUGUGAUUUGUUAAACAGAAAUACUCUGAGGAUACGUAAAUGGAAUCUUACAAAUCUGUAUCAUUAUAUUUAUUGGUAAAUCCUUGUAUGCAUGUAACAAUGUGAUCGCCGUGAUAUAUAUAUAUAUAUAUAUAUGUAUAUAUGUAUAUACAUAUACAUAUAUAAGGAAUACUAUCUUUGUGUAAAUAUGGUUAUGUGUAAUGAUUAUACAUCUCUAAUACAAUAUGUUAAAAUUUAUUUUAACAUUAAUAUUCAAUCUUCUUAUUGUUACCGCCUUCGUUUUUGUAAUAAGAGGAAAGACGUUUUGUUACUACGAAUAAAGUUUUGUCAUUCUUCUUCCUUCGUUUCAGCGGCGAAUAUGUGAUACCCACACAUUAUAUGUC